Molecule: transfer RNA, 67 nt
Filed under: Trichonephila clavata
Lineage: Eukaryota; Metazoa; Arthropoda; Arachnida; Araneae; Nephilidae
Description: tRNA-Arg
Rfam family: tRNA (bases 2-59)
About the family: Transfer RNA (tRNA) molecules are approximately 80 nucleotides in length. Their secondary structure includes four short double-helical elements and three loops (D, anti-codon, and T loops).
Source: RNAcentral
CAGCGCAAUGGAUAAGCGCGUUGGAAUUCUAAUCCAAAGGUCGUGGGUUCCAAUCCCACCUGGUUGG